This is an RNA transcript of Medicago truncatula (barrel medic), 1408 nucleotides long. It is a transcript of the gene named FBD-associated F-box protein At3g52670, with no coding region annotated. The record is from RefSeq and is a predicted model, not a curated record. Lineage: Eukaryota; Viridiplantae; Streptophyta; Magnoliopsida; Fabales; Fabaceae. The transcript is spliced from 3 exons.
UAAAGAUAUCUAAAAUAAUUCACUUGAAACGAAACACUCAGAUUCGCUUUUAGACUAUCGAUUCAACCGUGGAACAAAGUACAAUAUCGGGUGUGUGGUUGCUUCCUUCCUUCGUUGAAACGAAACACUCAGAUUCGCUUUUAGAUUAUCGAUUCACAAUUGUCUUCAACUCAAUAGAGAGGUUGGAGCCGACGAGGCGAAGCAGGUGAUUGGUUGAAGAUGAAGAGGGACAGGCUCAAUGACUUGCCCAAUGAAAUUCUGCUUCAUAUAUUGUCAUUUCUUAUGAUAGAAGAUGUUGUUAAGACCAGCAUUUUGUCGAAACGGUGGAAGAAUCUUUGGAAAUACCUCCCUGAUCUUAAAUUGCAUACUUCUGAAUUCAGCAACCCGUAUCUUUUCUCGGAAUGUGUGUCUGGGGUCGUGUCAUCUCGUAGUAUGGGAAAUCAUCCCUUACGCACUCUUGACUUUGAUCGUCAUGGUUGUUUUCAACAUAAGAUAUUCACUGAACUCGUAAAACAUGCCAUGUCUAAUGGUCUUCAGAAACUGAGCAUAGUUGUUCCGUCUAAUAUUGGUUUGCCGUGUUCUAUUUUUUCUUGUCAUUCCUUGACCUCGAUUUAUAUUUCCGUUUCAAUGUAUGAUGUCAAAAAAAGAACUAGACUCCCUAAGCGUCUCGACCUUCCAGCUUUGAAAAGUAUGCAUCUCGACUUUGUUGGGAUUCAAGCUGAUGACAACGGUCAUGCUGAACCCUUCUCGACCUGUACUGAGUUAACUGAUCUUUACAUUGAUGAGUGUGUCUUAGUUUAUCCCAGCUCUGUCCCCCGAGAGGUGGAAGGAAUCCUUAAUAUAGCCAAUGCCACACUUUCCAAUUUGACCAUCAAGAAUACUUUAACUCACACAAAACUGAGACCUGUACCUACUUUCAAAUAUGUGAUAUCCACGCCAAAAAUUACUUCUUUUAUCGUAAAUGGUUCUCCUUUUCAGGAAUCGUCUUUACCAGAGAGAAUGAAAGUUGAGCUUUGUCUUUCUUAGUGACAAAAAAUCAAUACAAUCGCCUCCAAAUCUCUUCAGGUGACAAAAAGGUGGUUUUCAUUCAAUGAAAUGCCCUAAAGUGGAGCAGUGCAUCUGAUCUAACUGAGAGGUCUGUUGAUCAAGAGUAUAGUGAUUAGUAUGUAUCUCUGUAACUCUGUUAAUGUUAAGUGAGUGUCUUCAAUUAAAAGAAUACAGUGUUGUAGGAGUUGCGGUUGAUUAAUGUUGUUCUUGUGAAAGUAGUAUGGAUACCUUCAUUUUGUUUUAAAAUUUGGUCAAUUAUCUGUAUAUGUACACCCUUGUCAACAAUAAGGGAAUAAGGAUUCACCGGAGAACUUGGCCUAUCAAUCAUUUGAUGACAUAAAAAUUAUUCAUGUUGCAUAAA